This 45-nucleotide non-coding RNA is filed under the name Schistosoma haematobium. The record is from RNAcentral. Lineage: Eukaryota; Metazoa; Platyhelminthes; Trematoda; Strigeidida; Schistosomatidae.
CUCCGACUGACGAGUUCCAAAUAGAACGAAACGCGCGUCCUGGAU